CCUGACCCAACCCUUCACGACCCUGCCUCCCAAAUCCCAAUCCCAUCUCGACUCCAGCGCGCCGCCACCUCUUAUCCCGCCCCGCCGGCGCUCCGCCUCCCGUCGCCGCACGCCGUCGCCCCUCCCUCGCCGCACCGCCGGACCGCCUACCGUCAUCGCGGGCUGCCAUGGCCUACCCUGCCGCUGCGCCUACCCGUUUCUCCGCUGCCGGGCGGCUGCAGGAGGUGGCCGGCGUCGCCCCGUCAUCAAAUCCCCUAGCCGCUCGAUCUCAUCCGCCGCAUGCUGGCUGCCCAUACAGGAUUGACGCACCCUAUAUCCGGCGACCCGUGGCUACUCCUCCCAGCCCCGGAUCUGCUCUUCCGCCACCUGCGACCCACGGCUUCAAUGAUCCACGACAAGGGAUGAUGACCAACUCGGCUGCCCCCCUUCCCCGUGCAGCUGCCUCUGAGGCUGCAGCAGCCUUCGCAUGAGGCCACUACGGCGCCACCUAUGCUGUCCUAAAGUUCCGUCAGAUUCGUCAAUUUCAGUUUCAUCAGUUUUUGUCAGAUUAAGUUUCAUCAGAUUCAGAAAAUUCAGUUUCGUCAAAGUUUUAGUUGUUAGUUAAUUUCUCGCGCACGUUGGCGCUCGGCGCUCGACGUCGUCCACUUCCUCACAUAACUCGAGCCCAAGUGCGUGCAGGUUACACCAGCCUUUGAUUUAUAUAUCUACCGUCCACUGAUCAGUGACAUGAAAAGGUUGGGCGCUCUGAGCUAGAACAUAAGCCGAUUGAUGAGAUGAAUUAAAAUGCUUCUGAUUGGUUAGACCCUCAAUAUUCCAAACUGAAGUCCAAGGAAGAAGGAUCAGGAAUAGCAGAUUUCCAAUGGACGCUGGUGUUGUUGGCUGACAUCUCUGGGGCUGUACAUCAUGAUGGUUACCAAGACACGACAAUGAUCUAAAUGCUCCAGACCUGAAUGAAAUACCAUGACUACAGGCCGUUGCUGAUUUGCGUUCGAAGAGGUGCAGCAACCAGAGAGAAGCAACUGAGGUAACGCCAAUUGAAAAAAAAUACAUGAUGCACUGAUGGAUUAUCAUGUAUAUAAUGCCUGUUAUUGGAAAGAGUGAUGUUUUGCUCUGAACUUGUCGGUGUAAAUUUUUGGCAUUUUCCAUUUCUCUUCAGUGCACUGAAGAAUAGUGAAAUCUUGGCAUCCGAUUCCUUU
Molecule: long non-coding RNA, 1196 nt
Organism: Triticum aestivum (bread wheat)
Lineage: Eukaryota; Viridiplantae; Streptophyta; Magnoliopsida; Poales; Poaceae
Exons: 2
Source: RefSeq, a predicted model, not a curated record